Molecule: long non-coding RNA, 3251 nt
Organism: Bubalus bubalis (water buffalo)
Lineage: Eukaryota; Metazoa; Chordata; Mammalia; Artiodactyla; Bovidae
Exons: 2
Source: RefSeq, a predicted model, not a curated record
GCCACUGGGAUUCUCCAUGUGCUCUUGGGACCACAGUUUCCUGUGUGAGCAAGAAGGUCCCUUCCCUCAGGGCUUAACCUCCAUGCAGUCACGGCUGCUGUCACAGACACUGGGAUGGCCUGGGUGGGAGUGUGCAUGUGGGAUGGUAAGAGUGGGAGAGAAUGGAAAAGGACAAAAGAAACACAAGCAAAAACAGAAAAGCAGUGCUCCUGGCCCCCUGAGCACCCCAUCCCUCUCUCUGCACCUGAUGCACAUUCAGGCUUCAGGCUUCUUUGAGUGCCAGCUAGGGGAGACCAAAAGAAAAAUAAGAGACACUCACCAUCAGUUCAGUGGUGCUAACUUUAUGAUUUCCUUUUGCAAAAUACUUGCUGUCAUUUAUUUUUUGCAGCUCCCAAAAUCAUGAGUGUUAGUUGCAUUUAGUAAGAGACAUCCAAAGGCCAAAUGUGCUUCUCGGCAAAUUUUCCAGAUUGGAACUCACUCCUUGCAAAGUGAAUUCAUAGUUCCUCAAUCAAAGGCUGUAGUUUCUUCCCCCAUUAGAAUGGGGUUCCAGGUCUGAGUCUAGACCUUAAAAGGCCUAAUGAGAUUCUGGCAGGCCUCUUGAAUCCCCACCAUUGUCAUGACAACAAGUCCUGGAGGAUGAAGACCCACCUCGUAUAGAGAAGAUUCAUCCUAGCCCAGGCUACCUUGACCUAGUCACCUGGUAUUCCACUGAUGGGUUAGCUGGAGCCUAGGUGGUCACCAGCUGAGUGUGACUCAGAUCAGGAGAACAGCCCAGCUGACCAGAGAGUUAAUGAGGAUUAAUAAAUGAUUGCUGUUUUAAACCAGUAUGCUUUGUGAUGUUUGUCAUACAGUGUUAUUGUGCAAUAGUACAGAGAGACGGAGAGAUAGAUAGGGAAAAUAUGCAGGAAGUUAAUAUAUAUAAAGAGAGAAAGAAAGACAUAUUAUUUAUUAUAUCAAGCAUAUUCAUAUAUUAAAUAGAUGUAUAACAGUGUAGUUUGGAGAUAACUCCGGAGUGGAUAUCUGGGUAAAAUUCAACAACAAUAAAAGGUUCAGGAGACACUGACCAAGGAAGAUUGUAACACAAUGGUUGCUGGCAUGAGAGCAUGACUGUCAGUUUUAUCUCUGCACUAGGAACUCUCUCACUAACUGAAUAUAGCCAUUUGUCAAAAUAUGAAGGGUAAAUUAUUUGUACCAAAGUCCAAACUAACUGCACUUGAUAAACCUGCACAAGCUUGUCAGUAAAGAGAUGCAGGAGGAGGAACGGUGGAUAAUAGUUCUUGGUCUAGAUGAAUAUUUUUAGAUGGACAUACGUGAAAUCCCUUUUGACAAAUUAGUGUAACAGGUAGCUCCUGUUAUACAGGUUUUCCUCUGACAAGAAAUAAAAUAAAACUUUAGUUUGCACUUGGCUUUGUGUUAACCUAAAUCUCUCAAGGAUUAAACCUAUGUACCUCUCAUUUUAUAUUCUAACCAUGUGUACUGCAAUGUAAAAGAAAUCAUUUGUUACUGCAAUCAAACGCAGUACUUUUUCUCCUUCCUCUUUCCCACCAUCUAGGAUCUUCAGGAGAAGCAGAAGAAAAGCAGGAUAGUGAAAAACCACUUUCAGGACAAUGAGAACUCUUUUGUUAAAGUAUAAAUUUGUGAAGCAUGAAAAUCACCCCAGAGUCCCAAAUUUCCAAAUAAGGAUGACUUAGUUCACUUUUAUUUAUGUAGCCAGAAUGUCUCUGUGUCAGACAUGGUUUGUCUACAAACCCGAACUUCUGCAGGCAGUGAGGGCAGCAGUCCUGGGAGGAUGCUUGUCUCCACUUGUCUCCUUGUCUCCACUUAACGGAGAUGGGUGAGGCCGAGGGUGAGUGACCGGUCCAGGGUCCCACGACUGACAGAGGCAGAGCCGGGACUCAGGCGCCCUGACCGGUACCAAGAUCCGUGCUGAUCCUGCACCAGUGGGUGUCUCUGGAGCACACUGGAGCUUCUGAGAUGGCAGACACGGUCCAGCGGCGGCAGUGCGGCUCCAUGUGCCUCCAAGUCCAGGAACAUUCAUCGUUCAGUCCCUCAAGUCACCAAGGAAACAUUUCAACCUCAGAAACACAAGCAAAUAAACAUAUGAUCAGUUGUAAUAGCAGUGACUGCAUAAUUAUUUAACCAUAGAAGGGAAAAGAGAGUAGAUCUUAAACUUCAUGUCGCUGAGCCACCAGGGAAGCCCAGGGACCGUUUAUAAAUAUGGAAUCAUUAUGCUGGUAACUGAGACUAAUGUAAUGUUUCAUGUCAAUUAUAGCCCCACUGAAAGCUAAUAAAAUCUUUUCUAAAAGAAAGGGAAAUCAGAGGACUGGAUGGAGUAGCUGGGCAGCUGAUAUAGGGACAGGCAGGCCAGCGGAGGCAGCCACAGUCGGAGCAAACAGAGACCCUGCCCUGCAUCUGUGGUUCUCAAUGAACUUGGACCUCUUGUUUCCACAACAGUGUUCAGACCUAAAGCGAAAAUGUGGGCAUGUGAAGAGUAAAUCCUUUUCUAAAAUGCUUCAAAAUAAAUUCUUGGGUGGCCUAAAUCAUAUAGACACUUCAGUGUCUAUUUCACAGCCCAUGAAAUAAUAGACUUUGUUAUAAAAAAAACACAAAGUAACAUGCAAUAUUUAGCCUUUUCAUGCUACAUCUCAAAUAAUUUUUGUGUUCUUUCUUUUUCUGCAUGAAAAACCUUCAUUGAAAGUCACUAGAGGGGAAAAAAAGACUGGAAAUUGGUUAUUCUUUUUGAAAACUGAAAUGGUGACAUCUACUGCUGAUGUUAUUCAGGGGUUAAUAAAGGUUUUAUUGAUUGUAGUACCUCACAGACAUGGCACCCUAGAUUUAGUUGCCUGCCUGUGGCUGAUAAGAUUGUGUCAUGAUCCACCCUGUAUUCCAUGAGACUGAGUCUGAUCUCUUAAUGAAAAGUUGGGAAAAAGACCUGUGCUUUGUUCCUAAACAAAAGACCUCUUAAUAUAUUGGAGUAGCAUUUCUUUGUAAGCAAAAUCUCUUUUUAUUUUUUAUUUUAUUUUGAUUUGCAGAAUGGAGGGUAUUUUUUUCUUUUGUGUCUUGGACUUCUUUUUAAUAUCAUUUUUAACACCCAGCUUUCUAUUGUGUUUUUAAAUUCAUGCACAUGCACUAUUUGUACAAUUGUAAAAAGUAAGAAAACAGAGUAUGUCGGGAGUUCCCUGAUGGUCCUGUGGCUAGGACUCAGCACUUUCACUGCAGCUAAAAAAUAAAACAAAAUAAAAAACCCUGAA